RNAcentral lists this ribosomal RNA (506 nucleotides) under uncultured bacterium. Its description in RNAcentral is "partial 16S ribosomal RNA". The record is from RNAcentral.
GGAGUUAGCCGGUGCUUCUUCUGUGAGUGAUGUCCUUCCUGCCGGCUAUUAACCCGCAGGCCUUCUUCCUCACUGAAAGUGCUUUACAACCCGAAGGCCUUCUUCACACACGCGGCAUGGCUGGAUCAGGGUUGCCCCCAUUGUCCAAUAUUCCCCACUGCUGCCUCCCGUAGGAGUCUGGGCCGUGUCUCAGUCCCAGUGUGGCUGAUCAUCCUCUCAGACCAGCUACGGAUCGUCGCCUUGGUGAGCCGUUACCUCACCAACCAGCUAAUCCGACAUAGGCUCAUCCGAUAGCGCGAGGCCCGAAGGUCCCCCGCUUUCCCCCGUAGGGCGUAUGCGGUAUUAGCCUGGGUUUCCCCAGGGUUAUCCCCCACUACCGGGCAGAUUCCUAUGCAUUACUCACCCGUCCGCCGCUCGCCACCAGGGAGCAAGCUCCCCGUGCUGCCGCUCGACUUGCAUGUGUAGCNCGCCGCCACGCGUCAUCUGAGCCAUGAUACAACUACUGA